RNAcentral lists this microRNA (21 nucleotides) under Medicago truncatula (barrel medic). Its description in RNAcentral is "mtr-miR5243". Lineage: Eukaryota; Viridiplantae; Streptophyta; Magnoliopsida; Fabales; Fabaceae. The record is from miRBase by way of RNAcentral.
UGGGCAGAGAAAUCGUGAGGC